GUCUCUCUCUCCCCCGGGCCCUUGUUACCCUUAAAAAAAAAAAAAAAAAAUCAAUCCGUCAAUAAAUCAGUAAAAUUUUAAAAAACUACACAGGCCAAGGGUCUGGCUCUAUGUGGCGGUCAUCAGGUUUGUGGCCCUGAGGAGAACUUUGGAAAAGCUCUAGUGGGAUCCCCUGUCUUUCUCAACACCCCUAGAAAGCACCAGGCCUCUUCCUGAGCUUCCAGGGACCCGGAUGGAAAGAAAGCCAGGUGUGUCUGGGUGGGCCAAGCUGGGUCCUUUUCAGCGGGGCUUUUGCAAAACUCUCUGGGACCUGGAGCCGGGUUCAAAACUCCCUUUAAUCCGCUCCCCUCAAACACACUCCCCCUUUCUCUCUCUCUCUCUCACUUUCUCUCUGUCCCCUGCCCGCCCUUGUUACCCUUAAAAAAAAAACAAACAAACAAACAAACAAAGAAACAAAAAAAACUUAAAGAACAAACAAACCCCCAAUAAAUAAAUAAAAUGUUAAAAAAUUGAAUGGGCCAAGGGUGUGGCUCUAUGUGGCUGUCAUCAGAUUUGUGCCCUGAGGAGAGCUUUGGGAAAAAGGUGGACACCUCCCUUUCCCCUUCUGAAAGGAAGUGCUCCUGUCUCUCUCUCCCAUUUGGUCCUGGGACUUGCAACAGAAAAACUUUGAGCAAUAGGCCUAUCUGUCUGUGCGGCAUGUUUUUGGCUUAUGAAAGGGCAGUCUGGGAAAAUCUUUAGCCUUGGGGGCUAGGCUUGUGGGGUCUCCUGUCUUUCUCAACACCCCUAGAAACCACUAGGCCUCUUAUUUAGAUUCCUGGCACUCGAAUGGAAAGAAAGCCAGGUUUGUCUGAGUGGGCCAAGCUGGGUCCUUUUCAGUGUGGCUUUUGCAAAACUCUCUGGGACCUGGAGCCGGGUUCAAAACUCCCUUUAAUCUGCUCCCCCCAACCACAGUCCCCCUUUCUCUCUGCCUCUCCAUGUCUGUCUCUCUGUCUCUCUCCCUCCUAGGGCCUUGUUA
Molecule: long non-coding RNA, 1015 nt
Organism: Antechinus flavipes (yellow-footed antechinus)
Lineage: Eukaryota; Metazoa; Chordata; Mammalia; Dasyuromorphia; Dasyuridae
Exons: 3
Source: RefSeq, a predicted model, not a curated record